AGUGAACGCUGGCGGUGGGCCUAACACAUGCAAGUCGAACGGCAGCACAGUAAGAGCUUGCUCUUACGGGUGGCGAGUGGCGGACGGGUGAGGAAUACAUCGGAAUCUACUUUUUCGUGGGGGAUAACGUAGGGAAACUUACGCUAAUACCGCAUACGACCUACGGGUGAAAGCAGGGGAUCUUCGGACCUUGCGCGAUUGAAUGAGCCGAUGUCGGAUUAGCUAGUUGGCGGGGUAAAGGCCCACCAAGGCGACGAUCCGUAGCUGGUCUGAGAGGAUGAUCAGCCACACUGGAACUGAGACACGGUCCAGACUCCUACGGGAGGCAGCAGUGGGGAAUAUUGGACAAUGGGCGCAAGCCUGAUCCAGCCAUACCGCGUGGGUGAAGAAGGCCUUCGGGUUGUAAAGCCCUUUUGUUGGGAAAGAAAAGCAGCAGGUUAAUACCCCGCUGCUCUGACGGUACCCAAAGAAUAAGCACCGGCUAACUUCGUG
This 492-nucleotide ribosomal RNA is filed under the name uncultured bacterium. RNAcentral describes it as "partial 16S ribosomal RNA". It matches the Rfam family "Bacterial small subunit ribosomal RNA", at positions 29 to 507 of the family's 1533-position model. The record is from RNAcentral.